UACGUAGGGGGCAAGCGUUGUCCGGAAUUAUUGGGCGUAAAGAGCGUGUAGGCGGCCAGAUAAGUCCGCUGUGAAAUCUCGAGGCUCAACUUCGAGCUGUCGGUGGAAACUAUCUGGCUAGAGUCCGGAAGAGGAGAAUGGAAUUCCUGGUGUAGCGGUGAAAUGCGCAGAUAUCAGGAAGAACACCCGUGGCGAAGGCGGUUCUCUGGGACGGUACUGACGCUGAGACGCGAAAGCGUGGGGAGCGAGCAGG
RNAcentral lists this ribosomal RNA (253 nucleotides) under uncultured bacterium. Its description in RNAcentral is "partial 16S ribosomal RNA". It matches the Rfam family "Bacterial small subunit ribosomal RNA", at positions 524 to 776 of the family's 1533-position model. The record is from RNAcentral.